UGUGGUGGUUUGUCCGUAUCGCGUCGACACGUUAAAGGGGAAACCUUUAACAUAACAUAACCAUUUCAAGAGGAGAAUAAAUAGCCUUUAAUACUCAAACUGCCGCGGAUCUCUCAACGUUUCUUGCUAGAUCAGAUGUGUGAGAACAGGAGCUGGUCUACGUGUUCAGAUGCAGGUGUGCUGUUACUGUAUCUCCUGCCGUAGAAGACACUCUCUCUGCAGAGACACUGGUGCCAGGAACACACAAGUAUGUUUGGGCCAGCGUGGAAAUCAGAGGAGACCUCAUCUGACUCUUACUCCUCCAGCUGAGAGGGUCCUGGGAGAGAGGAGUGAUGGAGCACUACUGGUCACUUCUUCAGCUCUGGCAUGAGCAGACAUAGGCUGCUGCUGGACUCUAGCACCAGAUGAUACUCCAGCAGAGAAGAUGAUGACUUUCUUCUGUUAGAAGGGCUUUGCUGUUGCUCCUCCUCAGUGGAGUCUUCCAGUCUUCUUCUCUUCAACUCUCACCUCCUGCUGUAGGUAAACACAAUGAGAAGAACAGGGAAAAAAGGCAGGCCCUUGAAUCACAGACGCUGUGAACAGAGUGCUUCUCUCUUGCUCACUUGUAUCUAUUGCUGAGGUCUCCACUGGUGGUUUGCUUUGUCUCCGGGACCACUGAUGACUCUCCGGUGCUGUUCUACGUGUCCUGGAUGAAUUGAGCUUGCAAAGGAGCAAUCAAACAGAUGGUGGGACUGCUCUCAUCUGACAUGAGAGUAGUUGCAUCGUUCAUUGGCUUUAGGGCCUUGAUAAUAUCGUAUGUAUUUGAGAUGUCUGCUCUUCUGAGCGUGUAGAUGUCAGACUCUCCUCUCAUUACCUGAGGAGACUGUAAUGCAGCAGAGACUGCAAGCUGUUACUCCACAAACCUGUCAUCCAUCUCAUACACACUAUUCCACUGGUACACACAUCUGUUUUUAGCCUGUGUUUCGACAGACCAAGUAGAAUCUGCUUCUAUUCAAGCUGGUGUUUUGCAGGGGUACUGCGGUGAAAAUAGGUAGUAAUGCAUCUCACCCUACCUAGUAGCCUUGACAAAGUGGGCAACUUGAGCACUGAUAAGAGGCCAGAUUUAGCUUGUGGGCAGACCACUUCACAUGCAGGAAAUUACACUGUUCAGCAGAAACAACCAUGCUGUAUUCAUUAUCAGUGACUAAAACUAAAUCUCUUUGGUCACACAUAUUUUAGGGUCCAAUUCUGACUAUUAGCCAACCAUUAACUAUGACUUU
This is a long non-coding RNA of Carassius auratus (goldfish), 1259 nucleotides long. RefSeq lists it as uncharacterized. Lineage: Eukaryota; Metazoa; Chordata; Actinopteri; Cypriniformes; Cyprinidae. The transcript has 3 exons. The record is from RefSeq and is a predicted model, not a curated record.